GACGAACGCUGGCGGCGUGCUUAAUACAUGCAAGUCGAACGGAAAGGCGCGGCUUUUGUGGGGUGCUCGAGUGGCGAACGGGGGAGUAACACGUGAGUAACCUGCCCUUGACUGUGGGAUAACUCCAGGAAACAGGGGCUAAUACCGGAUAGGAGAUCCUGCUGCAUGGGGGGGGAUGGAAAGAUUCGGCGGUUGGGGAUGGACUAGCGGCUUAUCAGCCUGUUGGUGGGGUAGUGGCUUACCAAGGCUUCGACGGGUAGGCGACCUGGGAGGGUGACCGGGCACCAUGGUCCUACGGUAGGGCGCAGAAUGCUAUGUGCGGCAACGGUGGAAAGUCUUGCGCAGUGGGCGGAAGUCUGAUACAGCAGCGCCGCGAGCGUAAUGACCGCCUUCGGGUUAUAAACCACUUUGGCCUUUGACGAAGCGUGCGUGACGGUACUGGGUAAGAAAGCCCCGGCUAACUACGUG
RNAcentral lists this ribosomal RNA (468 nucleotides) under uncultured bacterium. RNAcentral describes it as "partial 16S ribosomal RNA". It matches the Rfam family "Bacterial small subunit ribosomal RNA", at positions 28 to 507 of the family's 1533-position model. The record is from RNAcentral.